Molecule: ribosomal RNA, 527 nt
Filed under: uncultured beta proteobacterium
Lineage: Bacteria; Pseudomonadati; Pseudomonadota; Betaproteobacteria
Description: bacterial SSU rRNA
Rfam family: Bacterial small subunit ribosomal RNA
Source: RNAcentral
AGAGUUUGAUCCUGGCUCAGAUUGAACGCUGGCGGCAUGCCUUACACAUACAAGUCGAACGGUAGAGGGGCAACCCUUGAGAGUGGCGAACGGGUGAGUAAUGCAUCGGAACGUGCCCAGUCNUGGGGGAUAACGCAGCGAAAGCUGUGCUAAUACCGCAUGUGAUCUGUGGAUGAAAGCAGGGGACUUGGUAGCAAUACUGGGCCUUGUGCGAUUGGAGCGGCCGAUGUCAGAUUAGCUAGUUGGUAGGGUAAAAGCCUACCAAGGCGACGAUCUGUAGCUGGUCUGAGAGGACGACCAGCCACACUGGGACUGAGACACGACCCAGACUCCUACGGGAGGCAGCAGUGGGGAAUUUUGGACAAUGGGCGCAAGCCUGAUCCAGCAAUGCCGCGUGCAGGACGAAGGCCUUCGGGUUGUAAACUGCUUUUGUACGGAGCGAAACGGUCUGGGUUAAUACCCUAGGCUAAUGACGGUACCGUAAGAAUAAGCACCGGCUAACUACGUGCCAGCCGCCGCGGUAAUAC